CUUAUCCAGAGUGGCGGAGGGACAGGCCCGAUGAUGCCCGGCAACCGGUCGGCGGCAGCGCCGACGAGGUGCCAAUUCCUGCGACGCGGGGUUCCCCCCAAGUCGAAAGAUGAG
RNAcentral lists this non-coding RNA (114 nucleotides) under bovine gut metagenome. RNAcentral describes it as "SAM riboswitch (S box leader)". It matches the Rfam family "SAM riboswitch aptamer (S box leader)". From Rfam's summary of the family: The SAM riboswitch is found upstream of a number of genes which code for proteins involved in methionine or cysteine biosynthesis in Gram-positive bacteria. The record is from RNAcentral.